RNAcentral lists this ribosomal RNA (253 nucleotides) under uncultured bacterium. RNAcentral describes it as "partial 16S ribosomal RNA". It matches the Rfam family "Bacterial small subunit ribosomal RNA", at positions 524 to 776 of the family's 1533-position model. The record is from RNAcentral.
UACGUAGGGACCGAGCGUUAUCCGGAUUCAUUGGGCGUAAAGAGCUCGUAGGCGGCUAUUCAAGUCGAACGUGAAAUCUCGGGGCUCAACUCCGAGCCUGCGUUCGAUACUGGGUAGCUAGAGUCUGGUAGGGGGAUCUGGAAUUCCUGGUGUAGCGGUGGAAUGCGCAGAUAUCAGGAGGAACACCGGUGGCGAAGGCGGGAUCCUGCGCCAGUACUGACGCUGAGGAGCGAAAGCGUGGGGAGCAAACAGG